UGCUACUAUCGAUGUUUUAUUUUCACUACCGAUGGUAUCGAACAGAAUUUUAUCUCUGUCCCAUCACUACUUCUGACAAAGGACGCGCUAAUCGGUGGAAAAUUUGGACACAUUGCAAUUAGUGUUGGCGGUUCUAUGGAUAAUUACCUGAGAAUUUCCAAUAACAAAGAUGCCAGAAUGUUCUGGACAUCAGCAGUGACCCGGAAGAGGGAAGUCCCUGUACGAACAGUUCAAGAGUUGGAAAAUCGAAGGUAUGGAGAUAUUUUGAAAAAGCAAAACGAGGUAAAACUGCCGCUAUUGUGACAAAAUUUACAAGACGAGUGGCAAUACGUCUAACAUGUUUGACCAUCUAAAGCGAUCGCACCCUUCAUUAAAAGAAUUGUCAAAGCCAUCGGGAACAAUAACUUCCUAAUUGGAUAAAUCGAAGGUGUAUGAAGUAUCAUCACAACGAAAAAAGACCUUGACAGUGCUUUGGUGAAAUUUAUUGCGUCAGAUGUGCGACUAUUUGCAAUAGUAGAAGACAAAGGAUUUCGCGAAUUUGUGAAGGAACUCAAUCCUCGUUACGAAUUACCAUCUCGAACGACCCUUCAAAAUGUGUUUAUGGCGAACAUUUUGAACAAGAUAACGGCAAUCGUCACCGACCAUGCUAAGUCAAUGCUGAAAGCGUGCGAACUGUUACAAAAACGGAACCUUCCAUGUUUUGCUCACUCGCUAAAUUUAGUUGUGCAAGAAAGUUUAAUGCUAGACAACAUUCAACUCAUUCUAUUGAAAUGCAAACGCAUUGUGUCGUAUUUCAAAAGCAGCACAAUGGCGUACGCCAAGUUUAAUAUGGAAUUUACAUGAUUCAACUUUCACAGGCGAUUAGUUGAACCAAAAGUUGAACGAAAGUAGGGAGCCGACCAACUUCAUUGUAAGCGAUUAGUUGAAAGGCUGUUUACACCAGGCGAUUGUUGCUUUCAACUAAAAAUCGCCUGAAAAAUCGCCUCAUGUAAAUUCCCUAUAAAGCAGCACAAGAAACAGAGAAGAAAUAUAGCUUAAAACAGGAAGUGGCGACACGAUGGAACAGCGCAUACCUGAUGAUUGGUCGUAUUUUAUUAACAAAUGAUGCAAUUGUAAAAGUUCUGCUCAAUAUAUCAAAAGCACUACAACCUUUGACAGCAGACGAAGUUGCGUUAUUACAACAUUUGAUGCAGUUACUUUCACCAUUUGACAAUGCCACUAUGCAAUCAUCCUCUAGUUCCACAGUUACGAUCUCCUUAGUCAUACCGCUUGUGUGUGGUCUUUUGCAUACUUUAGAAAACCUAAAAACGAAUCUCAGAACUGCUGAAGGACUUGAUGCGUGCAUCUUUAUGAUUGAGCUUCUUUUCUCCUUUUAAUGCUAAUGAGCCUGGAAAAAUUCUAGAAAAUGAGCUUGCAGCUGUAAGCAAGGUGCAGAGAACACAACUUUCUCCAGGCAUUGGUUCCCCAGAACCGCCAACACUAAUUGAAAAGCCUGGGCCGUCGCAGCAAACGUUAUUUGGAUUCCUUGAAAGAAAUAUAGCGAACAUGGCGGGGACUAAUCGGGUCGAUGCGAUUGUCACCUUACAACAAUAUUUGGAGAAUUCACAUUCUCCUCAGGGCAGUGACCCCUUUUGGAAAUGCCUUCCGAAUGAUUCUUUUACAAAAGCGUGCGCUGCUCGAUUUCUUUGCAUUCCAGCCACAUCCACAGAAUUUGAAAGGAUGUUCAGCAGAGCAGGCAUCAUAGCAAAUAAAAGACGAGCUUCUUUAAAGGCAAAGAA
Molecule: long non-coding RNA, 1778 nt
Organism: Rhagoletis zephyria (snowberry fruit fly)
Lineage: Eukaryota; Metazoa; Arthropoda; Insecta; Diptera; Tephritidae
Source: RefSeq, a predicted model, not a curated record